RNAcentral lists this ribosomal RNA (119 nucleotides) under Pteropus alecto (black flying fox). The record is from RNAcentral. Lineage: Eukaryota; Metazoa; Chordata; Mammalia; Chiroptera; Pteropodidae.
GUCUAUGGCCAUGCCGCCCUGAACACACCCAAUCCCAUCUGAUCUCGGAAGCUAAGCAGGGUCAGGCUUGAUUAGUACUUGGAUGGGAGACCACCUAGAAAGACCAGAUGCUGUAGGUG